AGAAGACACUUGCAGCGGAAACGAAGAUGGAUGCCGAAUCAGCAUGAUCAGACAGAAAGCUUAUAUUUGCGGGUACUUAGCGAAAAUGACUGUCGGGUACAGUACUAUUACACGUGGUGACUGAAGUCUGGUCAGUCGGCAGGCAGGAGUACUCAAUUUACCGCAUUCCUACAAUCCAACUGAAAUUACGGGUAUUCAGAAUCGGCCUUCGAACAGUUGAUGAAGCCCGCCCUGGUAGAUGGAAUCUGCCGCUUGACCAGCAGCACUGUCCAGAGACAGUGGUUGAUGCUGGAUAUAUGACUUUUCCUCAGUCCAUCAUUACUUGCUGGAGUGCUGGUAGAGGCUGAACGCUUUAAUAAAUAUAACUGUGAUCUUGCUGAGAUGUAGUAAUCCAUGGGAAUUUUCCAAAGAAGAUUCAAGAGAACUUUCUGGACCUUAAAAGAUGUUGACACCCUGCUGAUGGAGCAGAUCCUAUUUCUUAGAAGCAGAAAGCAGUUCUCUUACCAUCAGAUCUGAUCCAUUUUUGGAGAUAGCCUUUUGUAUGGAGCUGGGUAACGGUUACUGGAGACAUGCUGUUGAUUGAUGAGGAUAAUUUUCCCGAGACUCUGGCAUAUUGCAGGACCUGGAUAGCUCUACUGGUGUUUAAAAUGCCAGGACUGUGGAGUGUUGUGAUGUCAUUGAUGGUCAACAGAAGACUGUGACCUUGAAUCUGAAGAUCUGUGAUGAAGACUGGACGUUUGGGGUCACUCUCUGUCACA
Molecule: long non-coding RNA, 758 nt
Organism: Ostrea edulis (European flat oyster)
Lineage: Eukaryota; Metazoa; Mollusca; Bivalvia; Ostreida; Ostreidae
Exons: 7
Source: RefSeq, a predicted model, not a curated record